Molecule: ribosomal RNA, 253 nt
Filed under: uncultured bacterium
Lineage: Bacteria
Description: partial 16S ribosomal RNA
Rfam family: Bacterial small subunit ribosomal RNA
Source: RNAcentral
CACGUAGGGGGCGAGCGUUGUCCGGAAUUACUGGGCGUAAAGGGCGCGUAGGCGGUUAUUCAAGUCAGGUGUGAAAUGCCGGGGCUCAACCCUGGGACUGCACUUGAAACUGGGUAACUUGAGGGCAGGAGAGGUAAGUGGAAUUCCUGGUGUAGCGGUGAAAUGCGUAGAUAUCAGGAGGAACACCAGUGGCGAAAGCGACUUACUGGUCUGGCCCUGACGCUGAGGCGCGAAAGCGUGGGGAGCGAACAGG